Molecule: ribosomal RNA, 482 nt
Filed under: uncultured bacterium
Lineage: Bacteria
Description: partial 16S ribosomal RNA
Rfam family: Bacterial small subunit ribosomal RNA
Source: RNAcentral
UUGCACGCUGGCGGCAGGCCUCACCCCUGCAAGUCGAGCGGAUGAAGGGAGCUUGCUCCUGGAUUCAGCGGCGGACGGGUGAGUAAUGCCUAGGAAUCUGCCUGGUAGUGGGGGAUAACGUCCGGAAACGGGCGCUAAUACCGCAUACGUCCUGAGGGAGAAAGUGGGGGAUCUUCGGACCUCACGCUAUCAGAUGAGCCUAGGUCGGAUUAGCUAGUUGGUGGGGUAAAGGCCUACCAAGGCGACGAUCCGUAACUGGUCUGAGAGGAUGAUCAGUCACACUGGAACUGAGACACGGUCCAGACUCCUACGGGAGGCAGCAGUGGGGAAUAUUGGACAAUGGGCGAAAGCCUGAUCCAGCCAUGCCGCGUGUGUGAAGAAGGUCUUCGGAUUGUAAAGCACUUUAAGUUGGGAGGAAGGGCAGUAAGUUAAUACCUUGCUGUUUUGACGUUACCAACAGAAUAAGCACCGGCUAACUUCGU